This 434-nucleotide ribosomal RNA is filed under the name uncultured Blautia sp. RNAcentral describes it as "bacterial SSU rRNA". It matches the Rfam family "Bacterial small subunit ribosomal RNA", at positions 341 to 792 of the family's 1533-position model. Lineage: Bacteria; Bacillati; Bacillota; Clostridia; Lachnospirales; Lachnospiraceae. The record is from RNAcentral.
ACGGGAGGCAGCAGUGGGGAAUAUUGCACAAUGGGGGAAACCCUGAUGCAGCGACGCCGCGUGAAGGAAGAAGUAUCUCGGUAUGUAAACUUCUAUCAGCAGGGAAGAUAGUGACGGUACCUGACUAAGAAGCCCCGGCUAACUACGUGCCAGCAGCCGCGGUAAUACGUAGGGGGCAAGCGUUAUCCGGAUUUACUGGGUGUAAAGGGAGCGUAGACGGUGUGGCAAGUCUGAUGUGAAAGGCAUGGGCUCAACCUGUGGACUGCAUUGGAAACUGUCAUACUUGAGUGCCGGAGGGGUAAGCGGAAUUCCUAGUGUAGCGGUGAAAUGCGUAGAUAUUAGGAGGAACACCAGUGGCGAAGGCGGCUUACUGGACGGUAACUGACGUUGAGGCUCGAAAGCGUGGGGAGCAAACAGGAUUAGAUACCCUGGUA